AUUGAACGCUGGCGGCAUGCCUUACACAUGCAAGUCGAACGGCAGCGGACCUUCGGGUGCCGGCGAGUGGCGAACGGGUGAGUAAUAUAUCGGAACGUACCUUUCAGUGGGGGAUAACGUAGCGAAAGUUACGCUAAUACCGCAUAUUCUGUGAGCAGGAAAGCAGGGGAUCGCAAGACCUUGCGCUGAUUGAGCGGCCGAUAUCAGAUUAGCUAGUUGGUGAGGUAAAGGCUCACCAAGGCGACGAUCUGUAGCGGGUCUGAGAGGAUGAUCCGCCACACUGGAACUGAGACACGGUCCAGGCUCCUACGGGAGGCAGCAGUGGGGAAUUUUGGACAAUGGGCGCAAGCCUGAUCCAGCCAUGCCGCGUGAGUGAAGAAGGCCUCGGUUGU
This 392-nucleotide ribosomal RNA is filed under the name uncultured bacterium. RNAcentral describes it as "bacterial SSU rRNA". It matches the Rfam family "Bacterial small subunit ribosomal RNA", at positions 30 to 426 of the family's 1533-position model. The record is from RNAcentral.